GGGUCUGGUUAAAUCCAGAGGUUUCUAAGAUGGUCGGGCCGCCUUCU
Molecule: non-coding RNA, 47 nt
Filed under: Bdellovibrionales bacterium
Lineage: Bacteria; Pseudomonadati; Bdellovibrionota; Bdellovibrionia; Bdellovibrionales
Description: Li+-I sequence
Rfam family: nhaA-I RNA
About the family: Acidobacteria, Alphaproteobacteria, Betaproteobacteria and Gammaproteobacteria, Verrucomicrobia, cand. division NC10. Downstream gene
Source: RNAcentral